CGAGUCUGAAUAGGGCGAUAGUCGCUGGGAGUAGACCCGAAACCGGGCGAUCUAGCCAUGUGCAGGAUGAAGGUUGGGUAACACCAACUGGAGGUCCGAACCGGGUAAUGUUGAAAAAUUAUCGGAUGACGUGUGGCUAGGAGUGAAAGGCUAAUCAAGCCCGGAGAUAGCUGGUUCUCCCCGAAAGCUAUUUAGGUAGCGCCUCGUGAAUGAUUACUGGGGGUAGAGCACUGUUUCGGCUAGGGGGCUGUCAUGGCUUACCAAACCGAUGCAAACUCCGAAUACCGGCUAAUUGAAUCACGGGAGACACACGGCGGGUGCUAACGUCCGUCGUGGAGAGGGAAACAACCCAGACCGCCAGCUAAGGUCCCCAAGUACUAGUUAAGUGGGAAACGAUGUGGGAAGGCAUAGACAGCCAGGAGGUUGGCUUAGAAGCAGCCACCCUUUAAAGAAAGCGUAAUAGCUCACUGGUCGAGUCGGCCUGCGCGGAAGAUGUAACGGGGCUAAAACUAGUCACCGAAGCUGCGGAUGUGCGCGAAGGCGCACGUGGUAGGGGAGCGUUCUGUAAGCUGAUGAAGGUGCAUUGAGAAGUGUGCUGGAGGUAUCAGAAGUGCGAAUGCUGACAUGAGUAACGAUAAUGUGGGUGAAAAGCCCACACGCCGGAAGUCCCAGGUUUCCUGCACGACGUUAAUCGGAGCAGGGUGAGUCGGCCCCUAAGGCGAGGCUGAAGAGCGUAGUCGAUGGGAACCAGGUUAAUAUUCCUGGACUUUUUAUAAGUGGUGAAGUGGGGACGAAGAAGGCUAGGUGAGCCAGGCGUUGGUUGUCCUGGUACUUGCAUGUAGGGGGGAAGACUUGGCAAAUCCGGUUUUCCAUAACUCUGAGGUGCGAAGUGGUUCUGACC
Molecule: ribosomal RNA, 901 nt
Filed under: Legionella pneumophila
Lineage: Bacteria; Pseudomonadati; Pseudomonadota; Gammaproteobacteria; Legionellales; Legionellaceae
Description: partial 23S ribosomal RNA
Rfam family: Bacterial large subunit ribosomal RNA
Source: RNAcentral